GCCGUUGUGAUGGAAUUGGUAGACGUGCUAGACUCAAAAUCUUGUGAGGGCAACCUCGUGCCGGUUCGACCCCGGCCAACGGCACCA
Molecule: transfer RNA, 87 nt
Filed under: bacterium
Lineage: Bacteria
Also listed under: 1 other name
Description: tRNA-Leu
Rfam family: tRNA
About the family: Transfer RNA (tRNA) molecules are approximately 80 nucleotides in length.
Source: RNAcentral